GACGACGCUGGCGGCGUGCCUAACACAUGCAAGUCGAGCGGGUUAUGGAGUAGCUUGCUACGAAGUAGCCUAGCGGCGACGGGUGAGUAACGCGUGAGCAAUCUGCCUCAUACAGGGGGAUAACAGGUGGAAACACUUGCUAAUACCGCAUAAGACCACAGUACCGCAUGGUACAGGGGUCAAAGGAGUAAAAUCCGGUAUGAGAUGAGCUCGCGUCCCAUUAGCUAGUUGGCGGGUAACGGCCCACCAAGGCGACGAUGGGUAGCCGACCUGAGAGGGUGAUCGGCCACACUGGGACUGAGACACGGCCCAGACUCCUACGGGAGGCAGCAGUGGGGAAUAUUGCGCAAUGGGGGAACCCUGACGCAGCAACGCCGCGUGAGUGAAGAAGGUCUUCGGAUCGUAAAACUCUGUCAUAGGGGAAGAAGGUAGUGACGGUACCCUAUGAGGAAGCCCCGGCUAACUACGUG
Molecule: ribosomal RNA, 470 nt
Filed under: uncultured bacterium
Lineage: Bacteria
Description: bacterial SSU rRNA
Rfam family: Bacterial small subunit ribosomal RNA
Source: RNAcentral